This 433-nucleotide ribosomal RNA is filed under the name uncultured bacterium. Its description in RNAcentral is "partial 16S ribosomal RNA". It matches the Rfam family "Bacterial small subunit ribosomal RNA", at positions 29 to 507 of the family's 1533-position model. The record is from RNAcentral.
AGCGAACGCUGGCGGCAGGCCUAACACAUGCAAGUCGAACGAACUCGUCGGAGUUAGUGGCGGACGGGGGAGUAACACGGGGGAACGUGCCUGUGGGUACGGAAUAACUCAGGGAAAGUUGUGCUAAUACCGAAUGUGCCCAUAGGGGGAAAGAGUUAUCGCCAUUAGAGCGGCCCGCGUCUGAUUAGCCAUUUGGUGAGGUAACGGCUCACCAAGGCGACGAUCAGUAGCUGGUCUGGGAGGAUGACCCGCCACACUGGGACUGCGACACGGCCCAGACGCCUACGGGACGCAGCAGUGUAGUAUCUUGCGCACUGGGCGCAAGCCUGACGCCGCCAUGCCGCGUGAAUGGUGAAGGUCUUAGGAUUCUACAUUUCUUUCUCCGGGGACGAUAAUGACGGUACCCGGAGAAGAAGCCCCGGCUAACUUCGUG